RNAcentral lists this ribosomal RNA (484 nucleotides) under uncultured bacterium. RNAcentral describes it as "partial 16S ribosomal RNA". It matches the Rfam family "Bacterial small subunit ribosomal RNA", at positions 30 to 507 of the family's 1533-position model. The record is from RNAcentral.
AUUGAACGCUGGCGGCAGGCCUAACACAUGCAAGUCGAGCGGACGAAGGGAGCUUGCUCCUGGAUCUAGCGGCGGACGGGUGAGUCAUGCCCAGGAAACUGCCUGGUAGUGGGGGAUAACGCCCGGCAACGGGCGCUAAUACCGCAUACGACCUGAGGGAGAACGUGGGGGAUCUUCGGACCUCACGCUAUCCGAUGAGCCUAGGUCGGAUUAGCUAGUUGGUGGGGUAAAGGCCUACCAAGGCGACGAUCCGUAACUGGUCUGAGAGGAUGAUCAGUCACACUGGAACUGAGACACGGUCCAGACUCCUACGGGAGGCAGCAGUGGGGAAUAUUGGACAAUGGGCGAAGGCCUGAUCCAGCCAUGCCGCGUGUGUCAAGAAGGUCUUCGGAUUGUAAAGCACUUUAAGUUGGGAGGAAGGGCAGUAAGUUAAUACCUUGCUGUUUUGACGUUACCAACAGAAUAAGCACCGGCUAACUUCGUG